This 414-nucleotide ribosomal RNA is filed under the name uncultured microorganism. RNAcentral's name for it is "bacterial SSU rRNA". It matches the Rfam family "Archaeal small subunit ribosomal RNA", at positions 459 to 872 of the family's 1478-position model. The record is from RNAcentral.
CAGCAGCCGCGGUAAUACCGGUGGCUCGAGUGGUGGCCGCUAUUAUUGGGUCUAAAGGGUCCGUAGCCGGCUUGAUAAGUUACCUGGGAAAUCCGGUGGCCUAACCAUCGGGCGGCCGGGUAAUACUAUCGAGCUUGGGACUAGGAGAGACCAGAGGUACUCAUGAGGUAGGGGUGAAAUCCUGUAAUCUUAUGAGGACCACCAGUGGCGAAGGCGUCUGGUUAGAAUAGGUCCGACGGUGAGGGACGAAGGCUGGGGGCGCAAACCGGAUUAGAUACCCGGGUAGUCCCAGCAGUAAACGAUGCCAGCUAUGUGUUGCUGAAACCAUGGGUUCCAGCAGUGCCGAAGGGAAGCCGUGAAGCUGGCCACCUGGGAAGUACGGUCGCAAGGCUGAAACUUAAAGGAAUUGGCGGG